RNAcentral lists this unclassified non-coding RNA (617 nucleotides) under Hevea brasiliensis (rubber tree). Lineage: Eukaryota; Viridiplantae; Streptophyta; Magnoliopsida; Malpighiales; Euphorbiaceae. The record is from RNAcentral.
AGAGAGAGAGAGAGAGAUGAUAAAGGAGUGGAAUGGGAGAUUUUGAGAAGAAUUGGGGGGUUGGUAGUGACGACAAUUAUAGAAAUGUUGUAGGAGAAAAAAUUGAUUGUGGAGCUCUUGUUUCCUUCCAUGGACGUGGACGUGCGCAUGUGAGUGCGGCACGGUGACGGUGGGUUUGGGUUUGGUUAGCUCCAUAGGCUCUCUGAUAUUUAGUGGGCUCAUAACUGCCUGUGUUUGGGCUUCCUAAACCGUAGUAAAGUUGUGCAACCUUAGCUUAGCCUCCUCCUUUGCCACAUAGCUUUGCCACAUUUUCAAGGCUAAUUUUUUUUUAUUAAUUUUGAAAAAAUUUAAUUUUUUUAAUUUAACAUUUUUUAUUUAAAAAAUGAAAAUAAAAAUAAUUUUAUAAAACUCAAUAAAGUUCUUUUUAUAAAUAAUUUAUUUCAAAUGAAACUAUUAGGAAUUUUAUUAAAUACGAUUAGUAAGUGAACCACAAUAUGAAAUCAUUUUUUUCAGUGGUAAUAUUUAUAAAUAAAAAAAAAUUAAAUAAUUAAACAUUAAUAUUUGAAAAAAAAAGUUUAAAAGUGGAAAAAAAAAUAAACUUUUAACUAAUUAACUAA